UACGUAGGGUCCGAGCGUUGUCCGGAAUUACUGGGCGUAAAGAGCUCGUAGGUGGUUUGUCGCGUUGUCCGUGAAAACUCACAGCUCAACUGUGGUCGUGCGGGCGAUACGGGCAGACUGGAGUACUGCAGGGGAGACUGGAAUUCCUGGUGUAGCGGUGGAAUGCGCAGAUAUCAGGAGGAAGACCGGUGGCGAAGGCGGGUCUCUGGGCAGUAACUGACGCUGAGGAGCGAAGGCGUGGGGAGCGAACAGG
Molecule: ribosomal RNA, 253 nt
Filed under: uncultured bacterium
Lineage: Bacteria
Description: partial 16S ribosomal RNA
Rfam family: Bacterial small subunit ribosomal RNA
Source: RNAcentral